Molecule: long non-coding RNA, 640 nt
Filed under: Monodelphis domestica (gray short-tailed opossum)
Lineage: Eukaryota; Metazoa; Chordata; Mammalia; Didelphimorphia; Didelphidae
Description: lncRNA (ENSMODG00000049866.1)
Source: RNAcentral
CUUGAAUAGAUUCUAGAAUGGAAUUAGAGGUGUCACAUUCUAGGCAUAAAGGAAAACUUCAUGAAAACUUCACUCAGAGAGGAGGUAGAAUUUUAGGCUUGAAGCAUACUAAGAAGUGUAAGAGAGGAAAUCAAAUUCAUCAUACUGGAAGACCAACUCCAGCAGGUUAAGCGCAGGAAGGAGAGAGAAUUCUGAACAAGAAACAAAGGAACUGAAAAGACCCAAACAACUGAACUCACUUCUCUUUGGGAAACCCACCAGAGAGUCUGAUCUGAGCAAACCUCUGAGCUUGGAGCAUCCUCCUGUGAAGCCAGACCUCAGUAUCCAGUGGAAGACAAACAAGAGUGUAUAGGAUUUUGCCAGAAAGCUAUCAAUCUCUAGAAGAUUUCCUCUCUAUCCCUCUAAACAGUCCUUGAAUUUAAUAUCAUAGUUAGGAUAGCUAGGAUUCAGAAUAUCUCUCACAAUUGGCCCCAGAGGGACAGGCAGGCAAAGCCUGACCCUGAAAGACAUGGGGAAUAGGGGUUCAAUUGUUAUAUUUAGGGACUUCCUAUUUUCCCACCCUCUCAUUACCUCAUCCCACAAACUGACUUGUCCUACCUUUCAUGUGUUCCUUUAGAAUAAAUAGUUGUUUACUAGAUCA